AUGUCUUGCUCUGCUUUAAUACAUAUGAUCCUAGUGUGGAGUGCUCGGCCUCUGCAUACUGUAUUCUUAAUUUCCUUUUCAUUAGCUGCUUGUGGAGGUUGUAGUAGUGUUUCAGUCCAGUGUUCCCCAUUGUAUCGUUCUGACCGCUGUAAUUUGGUUGUUUGCUGUAACUCCUGGCCGGUUGAUGGCUUUGUUAAUUCAAAACCGGGCUCUUUCGCGAGCCUUCGUUCUAAAAAAAAACUAGUGCGUAGCGACACAAAGCAGCCGCCGGCCGCUCCAUUCCCUCAACAAACAAACAGGAAAACAAAAGCAGCGGCCGGCUCGAUGGCAGAAGAGGAUUGGAUUCCAAUCGGGAUGGAACAGGAAGCCGCAGACAGAAGAGGAACUUCUAGUCGAGAUGCAACAGGAUGUGUUCCCGUUCCAGCCGCGGACAGCAGAGGAUUUUCUGAUGGAGCUGCAACAAGCGUUCGAGCAGCGGGCAGAAGAGGAUUUUCCAAUCGUGAAGCAACAGGACGAGCGCCCAUUCGAGUUCGAGCUCAUGCCGAUGGAGGAGCUGCCGGAGCUGCUGCCGCAGGACCAGUUCGAUUCUUACCUGGAGCACAUGAUGGAGGGGCUACCCCAGGAUGUUAUCGACAGUUUGCAGCAGGAAUUCCCAGCGCUCUUCCGCCAGGCCGCGGUGGAAAUUCCCCCGUGUCAGCGGGCGGAUCCCGCGGAGGAGCCAUGCCCGCUAAUCUAGGGUUCUUGUAA
RNAcentral lists this ribosomal RNA (747 nucleotides) under Triticum aestivum (bread wheat). Its description in RNAcentral is "partial small subunit ribosomal RNA". The record is from RNAcentral. Lineage: Eukaryota; Viridiplantae; Streptophyta; Magnoliopsida; Poales; Poaceae.